RNAcentral lists this ribosomal RNA (253 nucleotides) under uncultured bacterium. RNAcentral describes it as "partial 16S ribosomal RNA". It matches the Rfam family "Bacterial small subunit ribosomal RNA", at positions 524 to 776 of the family's 1533-position model. The record is from RNAcentral.
UACAGAGGUCCCAAGCGUUGUUCGGAUUCAUUGGGCGUAAAGGGUGCGUAGGUGGCGUCGUAAGUCGGGUGUGAAAUUUCGGAGCUCAACUCCGAAACUGCAUUCGAUACUGCGGUGCUUGAGGACUGGAGAGGAGACUGGAAUUUACGGUGUAGCAGUGAAAUGCGUAGAGAUCGUAAGGAAGACCAGUGGCGAAGGCGGGUCUCUGGACAGUUCCUGACACUGAGGCACGAAAGCGUGGGGAUCAAACAGG